Molecule: non-coding RNA, 45 nt
Filed under: Schistosoma mattheei
Lineage: Eukaryota; Metazoa; Platyhelminthes; Trematoda; Strigeidida; Schistosomatidae
Source: RNAcentral
AUCCAGCUGACAAGUUGCAAAUAAGACUAAACCCGCAUCCUGCAU